UCAAAGAAAGGAGAUGAAAUGGAAGCUUUGAUUGCCUGCUGAAAUGGAGUGAGGACUGUGCCCUGCUCCACAGUGCUGGAGAGGAAGGUCAGCAAGAGGCUUAAAGAACCAGGGUCCUAGGACAGGCAGUGGAGGGCCAGUGCUGCCAUCGUCAAGGCUGGCACUCCAGCGUAUGCCUGGAGGGUGAGACAGAUGACAAGGACCUGUGACACACUGAGCAGAUGUUCCACUUCAAAGAUGAACCCCUCAAUAUGACUCCGGAGGAUGGCGGUGACCUGCUAACCUCAUCCACACCAAAUACCCACAGACACUGUCAGAUAUCCAAGGCAUCUCUGAGAAGACCUUGGGAUCUACAACCUCUGCAAGAUGGUGGCCAAUGGGACACUAAGGUGCCGGCCAUCGAGCCAUCAGUGUCAAUGAUUCUGUCACCAAGAGCAAGUUUGACAGCAUCUAUGGCUGCUGGGAAUCUCUCACUGAUGACAUCAAAUGGGUCGCAAAUGGGAUAAUUUCAGGGAAGGUGGUGGUGGUAGCAGGCUGUGGUGAAGUGGGCAAUGGCUGUGCCCAGCCCCGGGGGGUUUCAGGGCCUUCAGACUGUGCAGGACACUGGGUCUAGCACGUGGUAUGCGGGGGUAUUCGGAAGAAUUCCCUGCAGGGCAGGGUCGCCCACACAGAACCCCAAUCUGGCUUUUUGCACCACAGCCUAGCUCAGUUGGGUUGCCAGGUCCCCCUCGGGACCUCAUAUUCUGAGCCUGCUUCUCUGGUCUUCUCUCUGAUUCUGGGAAUUCCCUGGUACAUUUUCUAAGAAAUUUCACUUCUUCAUUAGGGUUAGAAUCUGCUACCAUGUCUUGCAAUCAACUGGGAGAACUGGGGAUGGAGUUGGGGGAGCAUUUGUCUAACAGGUACAGAACCUGGGGCCCAUCUCUAGUGUCUCACAAACCAGGUGCAUGCUGGGGGUAGGAGAAAGAGGGCCAGGAACUCAUUUCACAGUGAGUUUGAGGCCAGCCUGGGCCGCAUGAGACACUGCUUCAGUGCACAGCAGAAACUUGGUGUUCCCCACCAGCAAUCCCUGGGAUGAUGAAUCUUCCCUCACCAAAUGGAAACUGACUAAUCCUUGUGAUGGUGACUUGGUAAAGGACACCAGAUUUUAAAAGAC
Long non-coding RNA from Mesocricetus auratus (golden hamster), 1153 nucleotides. RefSeq lists it as uncharacterized. The transcript is spliced from 2 exons. NCBI's taxonomy places the organism in Eukaryota, Metazoa, Chordata, Mammalia, Rodentia, Cricetidae. The record is from RefSeq and is a predicted model, not a curated record.